RNAcentral lists this transfer RNA (78 nucleotides) under Anguilla anguilla (European eel). RNAcentral's name for it is "tRNA-OTHER". The record is from RNAcentral. Lineage: Eukaryota; Metazoa; Chordata; Actinopteri; Anguilliformes; Anguillidae.
GGCAGUGUAGCGUAAUGGGUAAGGAGUUCUUCUUGUAACCUGAAGGUCGCGGGUUCGAUUCCCCGGUAGACGCUGCCG